Molecule: long non-coding RNA, 1036 nt
Organism: Clupea harengus (Atlantic herring)
Lineage: Eukaryota; Metazoa; Chordata; Actinopteri; Clupeiformes; Clupeidae
Source: Ensembl
AUCGUAUUUUUUAAUCAUACAUAAAGGAAUGCAUAGUUAAAUGUAUUACAUAGUUAAUUUUUUUAAGUAAAUACCGGUAUUAUAAGAGGUCUUACUUACUAUAUAGACAAUGAUUAAAGGAAGUGCAUAAAUUAAACUUUCGAUUGAUGUAGCAUGGGCCUUAUAGGGUCAAAUAUAUACUGUAGUAUUGCAUGGUACCGUGUGUACAAUAUACCCAAUUGAAUUUUUUAUUUUUCAUAAGAAUAGUUGUUUAGACACUAAAAGGUUGCGCUCUGAGGGCAGACCUCAAGUGAAAAGCGCGAGCGGUUCUACCAAAGCUAUGGUAAAUCGAUACCUGACGGGGGCAGGUAUCCCCGCGACAGAGUAGCGCCUGGAGGUGUAUUAUGCUUUUGCCGUGCUAGAAUGCGAAAGGAGGGUGUUUUGAUAUUAUUGUGUAAAGUAAUUAAGAAACCACCCCAAGAUGUAACCCUGCUUUUUAGUGCUUGCGUGUGUGUGUUGUUGACCUCAUAAAUGAGGUCAAAGGAGGGAUUGUAAGAGAAAAUCAAGUCUAGUGGGAGUUCAUCAACAAACAGUUCCUAGUCUAACAUACUAAAUCUAAGUUCUAAGAAAUGAGGCCUGGAGGCCUGCUAAGGGAGCUGUGUAACUUGACAGGGCCCCCUCCGGUCAGCCUAACUUACUAUCUUUUAGGUCAGAAAGGUCACCACGGGACACAGCCCUGAUAGUUGUAGCAGGAGGGGUGAGAGCCAAGGUCUUUCUCUGAGGCCCUAUUGUCAAAGAACUUAGUUAGUUACAGCUCCCCAGGAGAUCCACCACUAAGCAACAUUGUGGCAACUAAGGGUUAAAAGGAGGAUCUGUGUACCAUGAUGUCAGAAUGCAUUCUCCAGUCGUGGGUGACAGAGCUUUUUGUGAACUCACCUAAGACUGUACUUGUUCAUCUUUUAAAACUCAGUAAACUCAACUCAAACUUAUUGCUCUGUGUGGCGGUCCUUACUUUGAUUCUCUGCAACGAACACGUAGAUAAAAGUUUAAUCUAACA